CCAUCGAUAGCUCAGUUGGUAGAGUGGUGGAUUGUAGAUCCAUAGGUCGCUGGUUAGAAUCCGGCUUGAAGGA
RNAcentral lists this transfer RNA (73 nucleotides) under Rhipicephalus microplus (southern cattle tick). RNAcentral describes it as "tRNA-Tyr". It matches the Rfam family "tRNA". Rfam says of the family: Transfer RNA (tRNA) molecules are approximately 80 nucleotides in length. Their secondary structure includes four short double-helical elements and three loops (D, anti-codon, and T loops). Lineage: Eukaryota; Metazoa; Arthropoda; Arachnida; Ixodida; Ixodidae. The record is from RNAcentral.